Molecule: long non-coding RNA, 658 nt
Organism: Phacochoerus africanus (Common warthog)
Lineage: Eukaryota; Metazoa; Chordata; Mammalia; Artiodactyla; Suidae
Exons: 2
Source: RefSeq, a predicted model, not a curated record
UAUAUGAUGUGCUAAUUCCAGAGUCUCGGUUCAAGGAGUCUAUUUCCUGGGGCCACUUCUGGUACCAACUAAUGUAUCAGCAGAGUUUCCAGCAGAAAAGAAAUCAUUAGAUGAGUAUUUAUUUACAAAGUGAUAGAUUAUAAAAGUUUGCCUGGGGUAAAAGCAAAUCACCACAAAUAGGGCAGGAAUUGGGGCCAACAGCAGUGAGAUGUUACCUCUCUUCAUGCCAAAGGAGUGAGGAAUGGAGCCUGGAAAAAAUAAAGUCCCAGACUUAUCUAGAAGCCAGAGUACACCAGGUCCUGUUCGUGUAGCCUCUGCCACCCAUCUUUGAGGCAGAGGGCAAAUGGAAACAGAAGGAGAAUGGCUCUGGAGGGUCACCUGCAGCAAAAUGCAGAAAAAACUGAUAGCAGGAAGAAAGAGCUGGAGGCCACAGACCACGAGAUUGGGAUGGUCACUGCCUAGAGGACUGCUCAAAGAGAUUGGCUGCAAAGGGUCAUAGCUGAGGUUUUCUUCUCCCAAAAGAGAGCAGAGGCUACCAUAAGGAUUAAUUCUCUUAUUUUCAGAAAUAACCAGAGGUCUUUGUGUAUCUUUGAUCACAAGAAAGGACUGGACCAAUGUUAAGUUUUUUAAUUUGCACAAAUAAAGAAAUGAAACCUUA